RNAcentral lists this ribosomal RNA (301 nucleotides) under uncultured bacterium. RNAcentral's name for it is "partial 16S ribosomal RNA". It matches the Rfam family "Bacterial small subunit ribosomal RNA", at positions 509 to 809 of the family's 1533-position model. The record is from RNAcentral.
CAGUCGCCACGGUAAUACGGAGGGAGCUAGCGUUGUUCGGAAUUACUGGGCGUAAAGCGCGCGUAGGCGGUUACUCAAGUCAGAGGUGAAAGCCCGGGGCUCAACCCCGGAACUGCCUUUGAAACUAGGUGACUAGAAUCUUGGAGAGGUCAGUGGAAUUCCGAGUGUAGAGGUGAAAUUCGUAGAUAUUCGGAAGAACACCAGUGGCGAAGGCGACUGACUGGACAAGUAUUGACGCUGAGGUGCGAAAGCGUGGGGAGCAAACAGGAUUAGAUACCCCCGUAGUCCUGUCUCUUAUACA